RNAcentral lists this ribosomal RNA (468 nucleotides) under uncultured bacterium. RNAcentral's name for it is "partial 16S ribosomal RNA". It matches the Rfam family "Bacterial small subunit ribosomal RNA", at positions 28 to 507 of the family's 1533-position model. The record is from RNAcentral.
GACGAACGCUGGCGGCGUGCUUAACACAUGCAAGUCGAACGGAAAGGCCCUGCUUUUGUGGGGUGCUCGAGUGGCGAACGGGUGAGUAACACGUGAGUAACCUGCCCUUGACUUUGGGAUAACUUCAGGAAACUGGGGCUAAUACCGGAUAGGAGCUCCUGCUGCAUGGUGGGGGUUGGAAAGUCUCGGCGGUUGGGGAUGGACUCGCGGCUUAUCAGCUUGUUGGUGGGGUAGUGGCUUACCAAGGCUUUGACGGGUAGCCGGCCUGAGAGGGUGACCGGCGACAUUGGGACUGAGAGACGGCCCAGACUCCUACGGGGGGCAGCAGUGGGGAAUAUUGCACAAUGGGCGGAAGCCUGAUGCAGCAACGCCGCGUGCGGGAUGACGGCCUUCUGGUUGUAAACCGCUUUCGCCUGUGACGAAGCGUGAGUGACGGUAAUGGAUAAAGAAGCACCGGCUAACUACGUG